RNAcentral lists this ribosomal RNA (710 nucleotides) under Conopomorpha litchiella. Its description in RNAcentral is "SSU rRNA". It matches the Rfam family "Eukaryotic small subunit ribosomal RNA", at positions 486 to 1152 of the family's 1831-position model. Lineage: Eukaryota; Metazoa; Arthropoda; Insecta; Lepidoptera; Gracillariidae. The record is from RNAcentral.
CGGGACUCUCACGAGGCCUCGUAAUCGGAAUGAGUACACUUUAAAUAUUUUAACGAGGAACAAUUGGAGGGCAAGUCUGGUGCCAGCAGCCGCGGUAAUUCCAGCUCCAAUAGCGUAUACUAAAUUUGUUGCGGUUAAAAAGCUCGUAGUUGCAUUUGUGCGCCGCGCUGUCGGUGCACCGCAUCCGCGGUGAUACUGACACGUCUGCGGAGCAUAUCGUCGGUGAGCCGCCCGUCAAACGGCGGUUCAAUAUCAAAAUCCUAUCGCGGUGCUCUUCAGUGAGUGUCGAGGUGGGCCGACAAUUUUACUUUGAACAAAUUAGAGUGCUCAAAGCGGGCUCAAAACGCUGCUUGAAUAUUUCGUGCAUGGAAUAAUAGAAUAUGAUCUCGGUUCUAUUUUGUUGGUUUUCAGAACUCCGAGGUAAUGAUUAAUAGGGAUAACUGGGGGCAUUCGUAUUGCGACGUUAGAGGUGAAAUUCUUGGAUCGUCGCAAGACGAACAUCAGCGAAAGCAUUUGCCAAAGGUGUUUUCAUCAAUCAAGAACGAAAGUUAGAGGUUCGAAGGCGAUUAGAUACCGCCCUAGUUCUAACCGUAAAUAUGUCAUCUAGCGAUCCGCCGACGUUAAUCAAAUGGCUCGGCGGGCAGCUUCCGGGAAACCAAAGAUUUUGGACUCCGGGGGGAGUAUGGUUGCAAAGCUGAAACUUAAAGGAA